RNAcentral lists this ribosomal RNA (653 nucleotides) under Vibrio parahaemolyticus. RNAcentral describes it as "bacterial SSU rRNA". It matches the Rfam family "Bacterial small subunit ribosomal RNA", at positions 890 to 1533 of the family's 1533-position model. Lineage: Bacteria; Pseudomonadati; Pseudomonadota; Gammaproteobacteria; Vibrionales; Vibrionaceae. The record is from RNAcentral.
AAGAUUAAAACUCAAAUGAAUUGACGGGGGCCCGCACAAGCGGUGGAGCAUGUGGUUUAAUUCGAUGCAACGCGAAGAACCUUACCUACUCUUGACAUCCAGAGAACUUUCCAGAGAUGGAUUGGUGCCUUCGGGAACUCUGAGACAGGUGCUGCAUGGCUGUCGUCAGCUCGUGUUGUGAAAUGUUGGGUUAAGUCCCGCAACGAGCGCAACCCUUAUCCUUGUUUGCCAGCGAGUAAUGUCGGGAACUCCAGGGAGACUGCCGGUGAUAAACCGGAGGAAGGUGGGGACGACGUCAAGUCAUCAUGGCCCUUACGAGUAGGGCUACACACGUGCUACAAUGGCGCAUACAGAGGGCGGCCAACUUGCGAAAGUGAGCGAAUCCCAAAAAGUGCGUCGUAGUCCGGAUUGGAGUCUGCAACUCGACUCCAUGAAGUCGGAAUCGCUAGUAAUCGUGGAUCAGAAUGCCACGGUGAAUACGUUCCCGGGCCUUGUACACACCGCCCGUCACACCAUGGGAGUGGGCUGCAAAAGAAGUAGGUAGUUUAACCUUCGGGGGGACGCUUACCACUUUGUGGUUCAUGACUGGGGUGAAGUCGUAACAAGGUAGCGCUAGGGGAACCUGGCGCUGGAUCACCUCCUUAAACGAUGAU